RNAcentral lists this ribosomal RNA (468 nucleotides) under uncultured bacterium. Its description in RNAcentral is "partial 16S ribosomal RNA". It matches the Rfam family "Bacterial small subunit ribosomal RNA", at positions 28 to 507 of the family's 1533-position model. The record is from RNAcentral.
GACGAACGCUGGCGGCGUGCUUAACACAUGCAAGUCGAACGGUGAAGGCGGAGCUUGCUCUGCUGGAUGAGUGGCGAACGGGUGAGUAACACGUGAGUAACCUGCCCGUGACUGUGGGAUAACUGCUGGAAACGGGGGCUAAUACCGGAUAAGAGCUGCGGAUGCAUGUUGAGCAGUUGAAAGGUGCGUCGGUCAGGGAUGAACUCGCGGCUUAUCAGCUUGUUGGUGAGGUAGUGGCUCACCAAGGCGUCGACGGGUAGCCGGCCUGAGAGGGUGACCGGCCCCAGUGGGACUGAGACACGGCCCAGACUCCUACGGGAGGCAGCAGUGGGGAAUAUUGCACAAUGGGCGGAAGCCUGAUGCAGCAACGCCGCGUGCGGGAUGACGGCCUUCGGGUUGUAAACCGCUUUCGCCUGGGAAGAAGCGAGAGUGACGGUACCUGAUCAAAAAGCGCCGGCUAACUACGUG